GGACCAAGGAGUCUAGUAAAUGAGCGAGCCUUUAAGGUACUAUCCUAAACACUGCAGGCGUUGUGAAGGCACUUGAAGGCGAGCCUUGCUCAGGCCUAGGGACGAUGGGCGACAUUUGACAGUCGCCUUCCGCAGUCGCCGGGGUGGUCUCGUUCUCGUUGCGAGAAGAGGCGUGCACCUAGCGUCACGUGCUAGUACCC
RNAcentral lists this ribosomal RNA (200 nucleotides) under Rybaxis variabilis. Its description in RNAcentral is "partial 28S ribosomal RNA". Lineage: Eukaryota; Metazoa; Arthropoda; Insecta; Coleoptera; Staphylinidae. The record is from RNAcentral.